RNAcentral lists this ribosomal RNA (1145 nucleotides) under uncultured bacterium. RNAcentral's name for it is "bacterial SSU rRNA". It matches the Rfam family "Bacterial small subunit ribosomal RNA", at positions 195 to 1349 of the family's 1533-position model. The record is from RNAcentral.
GAUGGUGGAAAGUUUUUUCGGUUGGGGAUGGGCUCGCGGCCUAUCAGUUUGUUGGUGAGGUAAUGGCUCACCAAGACGACGACGGGUAGCCGGCCUGAGAGGGCGACCGGCCACACUGGGACUGAGACACGGCCCAGACUCCUACGGGAGGCAGCAGUGGGGAAUAUUGCACAAUGGGGGAAACCCUGAUGCAGCGACGCAGCGUGCGGGAUGACGGCCUUCGGGUUGUAAACCGCUUUCAGCAGGGAAGAAGCCUUUAUCGGUGACGGUACCUGCAGAAGAAGUACCGGCUAACUACGUGCCAGCAGCCGCGGUAAUACGUAGGGUACAAGCGUUGUCCGGAAUUAUUGGGCGUAAAGAGCUCGUAGGUGGUUGGUCACGUCUGCUGUGGAAACGCAACGCUUAACGUUGCGCGUGCAGUGGGUACGGGCUGACUAGAGUGCAGUAGGGGAGUCUGGAAUUCCUGGUGUAGCGGUGAAAUGCGCAGAUAUCAGGAGGAACACCGGUGGCGAAGGCGGGACUCUGGGCUGUAACUGACACUGAGGAGCGAAAGCAUGGGGAGCGAACAGGAUUAGAUACCCUGGUAGUCCAUGCCGUAAACGUUGGGCACUAGGUGUGGGGGACAUUCCACGUUCUCCGCGCCGUAGCUAACGCAUUAAGUGCCCCGCCUGGGGAGUACGGUCGCAAGGCUAAAACUCAAAGGAAUUGACGGGGGCCCGCACAAGCGGCGGAGCAUGCGGAUUAAUUCGAUGCAACGCGAAGAACCUUACCAAGGCUUGACAUACACCAGACCGUUCUGGAAACAGUUCCUCCCCUUUGGGGUUGGUGUACAGGUGGUGCAUGGUUGUCGUCAGCUCGUGUCGUGAGAUGUUGGGUUAAGUCCCGCAACGAGCGCAACCCUCGUUCUAUGUUGCCAGCACGUGAUGGUGGGAACUCAUAGGAGACUGCCGGGGUCAACUCGGAGGAAGGUGGGGAUGACGUCAAAUCAUCAUGCCCUUUAUGUCUUGGGCUUCACGCAUGCUACAAUGGCUGGUACAGAGAGAUGCGAGACCGCGAGGUUUUAGCGAAUCCCUUAAAGCCAGUCUCAGUUCGGAUNGUAGUCUGCAAUUCGACUACGGAAGUCGGAGUCGCUAGUAAUCGCAGAU